Molecule: long non-coding RNA, 2635 nt
Organism: Astatotilapia calliptera (eastern happy)
Lineage: Eukaryota; Metazoa; Chordata; Actinopteri; Cichliformes; Cichlidae
Source: Ensembl
UUUCUGUCUCAGUGCAAAGGAGUCAGCAAGUUGUUUCAGUGCAAAGUUGACAAAUAGAACAUCUUUUGAAGAUUUUCUUUUACAAACUGGACAGUUUUUGUUUUUAGGUUGUUCUCAGGAUUUGCUUUUAUUUAAAUAAAGUAUAAAAAUGACAGAAAGAUGGAGAAAUCUGAGUUGUUGUAGUCUGCUGAGGAGGAUUUCAACUGACAGAUACUAAACCAGUUUUACAACAUUUUUGUUUUUCAGCAACUGCCACAGGAAACACUUUCCCAGCAUGACUUUAACAACAACAUCAGCAUGCAUAAAGAAUAAAGAAAUCUUUUUACAUUUUUGAUCAAAUCCAAAUCAAGACUGAACCAAAAGAGAAAGUGUAAAAUGCUAAAAAAAAAAAAAAAAAAAAAAAGAGCAGUCAUGUUUUAAUCAAGAUGAUUUAAAAGUCAGAAACAGACAUAUUGUUACAAAAUGCCUAUCCCAGCUGUCAUUUCAAGACAGUCUAGUCUGCCCCAGGGCCAACACAAGGAGACAAAUGACCGUUUUCACCCACAUUCACACCGACGGGCAAUUUGAAAAUCAUCAGUUAACUGUGGGAGUAGUUGGUGGAAACCCAGGCAAACAUAAAGUCAGUUUGUGGAUUCAAACUCAGGAGUUUCUUGCUUCUUGCCACCACACUACCAUAUUCAGACACAGUACAAGGUUUAAAUGAAUUUAUCUGUAAUAUUUUCAGAAACUAUAGUCUUGAUUUUUUUGUUUUACUUGUGAACUAAGGUUACUGAAGCAAAUCAUAUUACAUAUGAAAAGGUGUCACAGACUGAAAAUAAAUUGUGUUAUAAUACUGUUUGUCAAGUUCCUGGGUACCACCAUCUCCCAGGAGGUGAAGUGGGAGACCAAGAUUUUAAAAAGACCCAGCAAAGGAUGUACUUCCUGAGACAAGUGGGGAAGUACAGUCUUCUACAUGAGCUGCUGAUCCAGUUCUACACUGCAGUCACUGAGUCUGUCCUGUGCUCCUCCAUCACAGUCUGGUAUGGUGCAGCCACUAAACAGGACAGGUGCAGACUGCAGCGGACUGUACGGGCAGCUGAAAAGAUCAUUGGCGCCCCCUGCCCUCCACCCAGGACCUGCACCUCUGAAGAACCAGGAAACACGCAGGGAAAAUCAUCACAGACCUCUCACACCCUGGACACAGACUUUUUGACCUGCUGCCCUCUGGUAGACGGUAUAGAAGCCUGCAGACCAGGACCACCCGACACAGUAACAUGUUCUUUCCCCUCACCAUCUCCCUCCUAAGUCUCACACUGCUUCACACUGCUAGACUGCAAUAGAUGUGUGUGUGUGUAUUGAGUCAUUUACAUAUUCUUGCGAUCCGGUAGAGACACCAUCUACCGGAAACAAAUUCCUUGUAUGUGUUUGAGCAUAUACUUGUUCAAUAAACGCAAUUCUGAUUCUGAUUCUGUUGAGAAAAUAUCAACUUUGUCUCCAUCUUGUGGUUUUUGCAGGAACAAAACUGUUCACAGUUUCGUCCACAUGAUCAGGUUUUAUUGCAGUACAUCAGGAGUCAGUCUUUGGUGAAAUUAUAAGUAGUGUGCAUGAAGGUUGUGCUGUCCAUUGGCAGGAUGAGAUAAUUAUUAAGCAACAACAUUUUUUUUCUGAACAUUAAAGAGAAAUCUCAGUUUCAGAUUUUUAUUUUUUAAUUUAUUUUUUUAAUUUUUGGAAUUUUGGAAUCACCUCACAACAUGCUGGGAAAGGCCUAGCAGGGUAGACAAUGUUAUUAAAGGAAAACAGAAAAUCACCACUUCAGAUCCAUUGUCCACAGCAUAAAUCAAGUCAUGCUCCCUCCCAGUGUUUCAUAGUGCCUGGGACGUCAUGGGCCAGAUUGUAGCAAAGCCACUCCAGACAGGAGAAUAACCAAGUAGAUCACACGUGGAUAAAUAGGUGAAAACUACCUGUAGCCAUUUCCUUUGACUGUUCUGGGUUCCUCAUGUAGUUUGAAGUGACCAACAAAAUGUUGGACUUAUUAUUAGUUGUUUUAGAUAUUGUAAUGUUUUAUUGUUUCUGUACUGAUAUUGUUUUACUUAGUGAUUCAUAGUUUUAUUCUCUGAAAUGUUUUGAUUCUAUUGGCAUGCUGGGAAUUCACUCACUUUGUCUGGUGAUAGAAUUUGUUUACAUGUUUGUUUAGUGGGGUUGGUUGGCUUCCUGCAGUUGUCAGAUAUGUCUUCUCAUGUUUUUCCCAUUUUUCAUACAGUUUUAGUAAUGUUUUUAAUAAAUAGCCAGUUACGGCACUUAAUCUGCACUUACUGUUUUGGCUUCUUAUUGAAGCCUCUGUGUCAUUUACCCUGGUCUUACUGUUUUUAUUUAUUUAUCCUAUUUUUCUAUUCCUUUUAAAUGUGUCUGCUAGUGGAUCUCUGUGACACCGGAUGAGACAAACAGAAACCUCUAAGUUGGUCUAAUAAGUUUUCUUUGUCAUGUACUGUGUGCAGUAGGCAGGAAUGGUGGAAUAAAAGGUGAACUUCUCCUGUCAAAUACUAAAGUUGUUCCAUAAACUACUUGUGUUUUAUGCUUGUUUCUGUGCAGUGUGGACCACAACAACACAAAAUCACCUAAAUUGAUUUUUGUUUCACGUUACAGAGGCAACAUGCUG